This 328-nucleotide long non-coding RNA is filed under the name Phaseolus vulgaris (common bean). Its description in RNAcentral is "long non-coding RNA (PVUL_LNC000163)". The record is from RNAcentral. Lineage: Eukaryota; Viridiplantae; Streptophyta; Magnoliopsida; Fabales; Fabaceae.
GCGCCCUCUGCUUCUACAUCCGGUGGGACUCCAGCCUUCAUAGACCAUCCCCCGAGCGCCUCCUCCCCACUCCAACUUGUUGUUCAUGACAGUGGGGGAGAGAGUGCCCUCGAGGGCCAAGAGAUGCCUUCUACCUCCCAACUUUUCGUGCUGUUCCAAUAAAUAUUCAACCGCUUUCAAGACAAGGAGGUGGUGGAGAGCUUGAGCGGCAAUCUCUCCCAAGAUCGCAUUGUUAACGGCCUCGGGGACUUCCUGAUUGCCUCUAACUUGGCGCUGAGUAGGGCCCAAGAGGCGGAGGAACUUAAGGCCAAAGUGGCGAAGCUGGAGG